RNAcentral lists this ribosomal RNA (585 nucleotides) under Lasiodiamesa sp. SRM-2009. RNAcentral's name for it is "eukaryotic LSU rRNA". It matches the Rfam family "Eukaryotic large subunit ribosomal RNA", at positions 445 to 900 of the family's 3401-position model. The record is from RNAcentral. Lineage: Eukaryota; Metazoa; Arthropoda; Insecta; Diptera; Chironomidae.
UUCAAUAGCAGCGCUUAGGCGCUACUGUGCACUUUUCUCUUAGUAAGACGUUGUGAUCCAUUAGGAAUCGACGGUCCCUGGAGGCUGUCAAUGGGCUACCAAUAGACCAAUGUGAAGUUCAUUUAUUGGCAAACAGUCAGGUCGUUUAUGGCCGGGCAUAUUGUCUUGUGAGCGCAUUGUGCACUGGUGUAGCUGCCUGAUGGAUUUUAACGGUCACAUCAUCGAUGCUUUCGGGCAUCACCCGCCUCGGUGGGACAGAUGUGUGCCUGAUCAACAACGGUUACAUUUGGGAUACCUUUGGGACCCGUCUUGAAACACGGACCAAGGAGUCUAUCUAGUAUGCGAGUAAAUGGGCAUAUGAAACCUAUUUGCGUAAAUAACUUGACUGUUUUACAUGGGAUUACGAAUUGCAUCCUCACCGGUGUGUUCCUCCAUCCCGGGGUAUUUUCAUCACUUGUGCUUGCACAAAGAAAAUAUACCAUGAGCAUACUGGAUAUGACCCGAAAGAUGGUGAACUAUGCCUGAUCAGGUUGAAGUCAGGGGAAACCCUGAUGGAGGACCGAAGCAAUUCUGACGUGCAAAUCG